This 5188-nucleotide unclassified non-coding RNA is filed under the name Leishmania donovani. RNAcentral describes it as "gene:LdHU3.35.2980(CDS-product:hypothetical_prote in_conserved)". Lineage: Eukaryota; Euglenozoa; Kinetoplastea; Trypanosomatida; Trypanosomatidae. The record is from RNAcentral.
CCGCGUGUACGCGUCGCUGCUGCGCUACACCCCACAAACGCGAGGCGACGAGAUAGGCGGCAUCUUCGCCCUUCACCUCUGGCUUGCGCGUGCGUGGAAAGCGAGAGCAGAAGCGAAAACAUAUAUAUAUAUAUAUGUACUACGAUUGCGUGUGUCUGCGCUACCAAAUGAGCACAGAUCAGGGCGGCCGUCCGGUGCGCAUGCUGGUCUUCGCAGUUGCCGCUGACGUUGCAGCACUGCGUCGCGCUGUCGCUGCUGUGGCGAGGCCGGCAACAUCGAUGAACUACGCCGACGAGCCUCACAGAGAAGACGGAAGAGCUGCUGAACAGACAAGUGUAGCAGCGGGCGCCACUCGAGGCGUACUCAGUGAUGACGCGUGGGUGUUCGCUUCCGUUUCAGGCUCAUGUAGCUUGCUCGCCGCGCCAGACUCCUCGGGCUACCUCUCUCCCGCGCGGUAUCAGGCGGCGGCGCGCGAGAUGCGGCAAUGGCAGUGCCUGCUGAGUCUGGUGCGCUUACCCCACCUGCAUGCAGGUUUUUCAUGCACCAGCGGCCCUGCAACUCGCGAUAGGCAGGCCGAUGACACGACUUUCAGGGCGCGCGCCAGUGCGGCGGCAACAGAAACUCUGGACGAGUCCCUUUCUUGCGAUCAACAUGUUGACACGUUUUCUAGUGCCGAGGACACUGAGCACUCGUGCCUACUGUGGGCGCAUGUUCCACACACUACCUCAGGUGCAGAUUUUGCUGAGUUUGAUCUCGGUCGCUCUCGGGUCUGCCCUGCACGUGGCGGCGUCGCUGCAGAUGUCUAUCCCCCUGCAGGGCAUCAUCUGCUGUGCAUCGACGUUGGCGGCGUCUACCUGGCGAGCUCACGGACACAUCCUGCAUCAGGGCGUACACAGAGUGCACCGCCGCAGCCCUCAGAAGCAGCCGCGACGAAGACAGCAGAGAAGUCAGAGCGUGCUUCGAGGAGGCCGAGCGCGGCGCGCGUUGGGCACAGCCGUGCCCCGAAGGAACAGACAUCAUCCCUCGAUGCACACCUGAGCAACGCCAAAGCCGUGGAAGGCGAGAGGGAAGCUGAGGCGUCGCAGAGCCUAUGGCGCCUGCUGCAACAGCGCUUUGCGACUGCAACACGCACUUGCCCGUUCAGGACGGACGCCGGUGCCGCAGCGUUUCCCCUGACGCUCACGGAGGUAUGGGUGAUACCCCUGCUGACCGCGGAGCGCGACAGCGAACAUCUUUUGCACACUGCAACUCUGGGUCUCUCCGCCUUUCCGCUGCUUGUGAAGGACGAGCAUCACCGCAACUCCGCUGAUUGUGCCGCUGUCGUGGGUGACGGCGCGAAAGUCUUCCGCCUAGCGCGUCACCCCCCAGCUCACAUGCUUCGCCUCGCUGUAGAUGACGGUGCGCUUUCAACUGACCCGUCGUCAUCUACGAUGUGUCAGGCGGCCGCGCUUCGGUCGCGCAAGAGGCUCCGUGACAGCGCGGCGGGGCGACAAGAUGAGGCAGAGGGAAGUCGGUGGCUGGCCGCACACACGACACCUCGGUUGCCGAACGCCGUGUUUCUGCGCUCUUGCUGCUGCAACCGCGGAGGCGCCGACCCUGCGGCACCGGAGCUAUCUGCUCUGCGACUUCGGAUACUGGAGGGUGACUUCCUGCUUCGCAGCUGCUACUUCUCUGAGUGGUGCUGCGCCGCUGACUUUGACAUAACAAGUGGCUUUGUCAGUCUACAUGUGGGCAAGUGGACAAGGAGUGCUACGGCUUACCACGCCUUCUACAGUGUGCUGCGGCGGUGCGUGCUGGCCGAGGACGCGCUUGUGCAGCGCUCGAUAGAGGAGGAGGCAGGAAAGUGGGUCGCGUCGUGCGGGUCACUUUCUGGAGCUGACGUCACGAGCAGCUCCGGGGCAGCCGCGGUGCCGCGCAGCCCCACCGAGGCCCUCUUCAAGGAAAGCGCCCUUGAGGGGCGCAGCGCGGACGACUCAGGCGCUCGCGGAAGUGAGCGGGUGUGGCCUAUAGAGGAGCUGUGGGGCCUGUGGGUGCGACUGGGGUGGACGCCUCCAUUGGCGUGGCCGCGUGUGCGUGUGUGCCUGCGACUCAGUGAGGGCAUUGGCCUGGGCAGCGUGGGCCAGCGCUCUAUUUGGGAGCUGUCUCCGCGCGCUCUUCUGACACUCUUGUCACGGGUGGCGACAGCGGUGAACGCGGCAUACAUUCAAGCGAAGCACCUGCAGCCGACGCAUGAUCCUCGAGGAGAUUGCCUGACUGCGGAGAUCGAGAGAGAUGACGAUGCCGCCGGCGCAGACCUUGACCGGGUGAGUGACCUGGGCCGUGCUCACAGCUGUCAGGAGCGCAUACUGUCUUCUUCGGCUGCUCGAUGUGAGUCGUCGGUGCAGGUGCGACGGCUGUUUGAGUUUCAGGCAGCGCUCUCCGUCGCCCCGGAAUUUGUCACCGGGCCAGUGUUAGCUGAGCUGCCCGAUUUUGCUGCAGCGGCUCCCUGCGUCCCCACCGUCGACUCGGGCGCCAUCACUGCAUCCGGUGACGCUGCUGGGGGCUCUCUUGUUCUCAGCGCCGCCGCACGUGAUCUUGCCAUGGACAUUGCCGCUACCACGGUGCUUUCUACCUCGCAUCCUGCAGCGUCCCCGGCAGGCAGUGUUGCUGGUGCCGUGGCGUUAACCGUGACGUGGCUUCGUGGUGUGCUCGAGUCCCCAGCGUUGCUCAUUCUUCCGCUCGGUGUGUCUGGACAUGUGAAUGAGAGAGAGAGCGCCGAUGACUCUUCGGGCGGCGCUGGCGCGCACCCUUCCUGCAGGAUCGCGAUGGACAAGAAAGCAGCGUCGCUUACUGCACUGCUCGCGCGCCGAUCGCCAUUUCAGCCAGAGAAGUUGCUUCGGGGUGCACUGGAUAUUUCUUCGGCUUCGCAUUCUCCGCAGAUGCCGCCCCCGUCCUCGCUGCCCGCCGCAGAGAUGUACUGCGAAGUCGCCGAUGUGGCAGAGCUGCGCUGGUGUUCCCCACAAGCGUACACGGCGACGGCAACCACCACGAGCUAUCGGGAAACGCUCUCCACCGCCGCUUCUCAAAAUCCUACGCUGCAGUCGCCCAGCUCGGUGUCUUCGACUGCGUCCUGUUGCGCCCUCGCUUGUGUUGAAGUGGCGCGACUGGCACGCACGGAGACGGCCGACGAGACUGUCAAUGUGUGCCGUGAAUCGCACCGGCAGCUCAGCGCCACAAACCCGUUGGCUGCAUUUCUGUACACGCGUUUCGCUGCAUAUCUUCAAGAGCAAGGCGUCGUGACCGUCGCGUCAACAUCGGGAGAAGGGAGCAGCGAGGGGGAAGCGCAAGAUCCUGGAAGAGAUGAUGAGCACAUACCACGUGAUGCCUGCCCGGCGCGGCGCUCGGCCGUGGCAGUGCCCUCUUCAUUCCAGCCCCCCAUGCUGCGGCAUAAAGACUGUACUCAGGGCGGAGCGGCAACCGUGUCUUUACCCGAGGAUGGCGGCUGCCUCAGCGACAAGAGUGUGUCUUCAGGGGAUGGCGAUGCGGUCAAGACACUAUUGGCGGAGACUGUGGUGCGCGUCGUUCAGCAGAACAAGCCUGUGGUACGGCGCAUCCUGGCUCUUAUUCAGUCCUACAGCGGCGUCGUCGCCGCAGCCACGGCAGAGAGCAACGGCGGUGCGCGAUGUGUCGCCAGCAUGGAUGAGGCAGCGAGGAUAAAGAGCAGUGACACUCAGCCAAAGGACGCCGUUGCGCAGGACCUAUGGCGCUGUCUCGCACCGGAGAUAAAUGCUGCCAUGCGUGUGGAUGAGGCGGCCAGUCCGGCGUCGUCGUGCGCCGCUUCGUGCGCCAAAGCGACGGCACGGCGCCUUGUGCGCGCGUUUUGGGAAAACGUCGCUGCAACCGCCCGCCUACAACUGCGCGACCGGCUGGGCGCGUUGUCAGGCCGUGAGAAGUAUGCAACGAGCGAUUCGGAUGAGGAGGAGUCCGCCAGGCGCUCAGCAUCACCACCGGCAAGGCGGGACGGCGCGGCCUGCUCGCCAGCGGAAGCGGCGGUGCCAACAGCUUCAGUGAGGCAGCACAGUUUCGCUGUCAAGGAGAAUGGGGCGGAACCUACGACGGCGAAGUCGAGCACGCUGUCGCCUUCGUCCUGUGAACAGGUGCGUGCCUCUGCCGGCUUCCCCUUGCUUCCCUCUGCGUCGCUGUCGCGCCAGCUUCCCUCGCCGAACCCUGUCGGGCAGUCCUGUGGAUCGUUGAGUCAGGCGGUUCGUGCGCUGGACGGGGCACAGGCGAUGGCCCUGUACAUGCAACACAUUCUGGGGUGCUCCAGCGCCGCCGGCCACUGGCAAGGCCAGGCCCGACUUGGCGGCUGCACUUUGCUCAGUUGCGCAACGGAGGCGCCUGGGAGAGCACCACCCACCACGGCGGGCACUGCAGCACCGCCCACCCGUCCUCAGCAGCCUAACCAUUGGCUUCACCAUGCACUCUUUCUUUUGAGCUACGGGCUCGCGUGUCCCGCUGAUGAUCCGGUGAUGUCCAGUGCUGCAGCAUCCGCCCCAGCAUACGCCUCCGCAAAGGAAUGCCGCCCUGUGGGCCCAUACCAAGAAGCAGACCAACUCGCACUACCGCCACCGCCUGCACUGGCGGCGUUUCGCGCCCUACGUUGCGGGAAGCUUUUGCUCGACGGGUUUAUCGGCGAGGCACUGGAGGUCUACGUGCAGCGGUGGACGCUCAGCGUACAGGCCCGGUGAGCUGUGCGACAGAAAUGUUUUUUUUUUUUGUUUCCUUCUCUUCCCUCUGAGGUGUGCCCCAAAGAGGCUUAUGCGCGCCCACGCGGAAGCACCAUAUGCUUUUUUUGUGCUCUCUGUCACUGCUUUACUGCUGUUGAUCUGCUACACAUCUGUACUCCUACUUGAUACUCUGCUUUCUACGUUCAGAAAAUCAUGGAGAGAGGCACACCCACACCUACGCACAGACGGCUCAUAAACCACGGACAGAGUGUCGACUGCGCCGAGUGUACACGUCUCACCGACACAUGCGCAUCCCAAAAGAAGGCCGGCAGACGACAAGAAACAGCUACUAGACAUGCCGCUGAAUGUCAAACACCCACAGUAGCGGCUGACCUCGGAUCCGCUGUGCUUUUCCUUUGCUCUUGUACUUCUUCGGGCCCGUCAAUCAUGCACGCCACGUGCACCUUUCCCGCGAAAUGUCG